Molecule: long non-coding RNA, 1238 nt
Organism: Mytilus californianus (California mussel)
Lineage: Eukaryota; Metazoa; Mollusca; Bivalvia; Mytilida; Mytilidae
Exons: 2
Source: RefSeq, a predicted model, not a curated record
AAUAAAAUGCUCCGCAGGGCGCAGCUUGAUACGACCGCAGAGGUCGAACCCUGAACAGUUGGGUCAAGUAUGGACACAACAUUCAAGCUUGAUACAGCUCUGAAUUUGGAUUGUGAUUAAAUAUUUGACACAGCAUAGGUUUCUGACACAGAAUGAAUGUGGUCUAAGAACUUAAAAAUUUUAAAUUGGACAUUCACCUAUUAUGGUCCAAUAUCCAAAAUCUAAAUACAUGGUUAGAUUCAGCAUAUCAAAGAACCCCAAGAAUUCAAUUUUUGAUGAAAUCAAACAAAGUUUAAUUUUGGACCCUUUUGACCUCAAUGUUGACAAAGUUGAUAACGGGGCCCAAAAAUCAAAAAUCUAAAUACAUGGUUAGAUUCAGCAUAUCAAAGAACCCCAUAUAUUCAAUUUUUGUUGAAAUCAAACAAAGUUUAAUUUUGGACCCAGAUUUGGACCAACUUAAAAACUGGGCUCAUAAUCAAAAAUCUAAAUACAUGUUUAGAUUCAGCAUAUCAAAGAACCCUAAGAAUUCAAUUUUUGUUAAAAUCAAACUUAGUUUAAUUUUGGACCCUUUGGACCUUAAUGUAGACCAAUUUGAAAACGGAACCAAAAAUUAAGAAUCUUAAUACAAGGUUAGAUUCGGCAUAUCAAAGAACCCCAAUAAUUCAAUUUUUGAUGAAAUCAAACAAAGUUUAAUUUUGGACCCUUUGGACCUCAAUGUGGACCAAUUUAAAAACGGGGCCCAAAAUCCAAAAACUUAAUACACGGUUAGAUUCAGCAUAUUAAAGAACCCCAAGAAUUCAAGAAUAAAACCCCAUUGAAAUUGGUCAAGAAAUAAGCAAUUUAUACGAAGUAUCUUCUUUUGCACAAUACUGUGCAAUUAAAUAUUUCUUGCUAUUGCGCAAUACUGCACAAUUGACAAUUUCUUGCUAUUGCGCAAUAUUGUGCUAUUGGAUAUUUCUUGCUAUUGCGCAAUACUGUGCAAUUGAAGAUUUCUUGCUAUUGCGCAAUACUGUGCAAUUGAAGAUUUCUUGCUAUUGUGCAAUACUGUGCAAUUGAAAAUUUCUUGCUAUUGCACAAUACUUAUUAUAUAAUAAUUUACACAUCCUGUUUGGUGUGUAUCUCCUACCAUAUCAUUAUUAUUUGCUUUUAAAUAUAAAUCAGAAAUAACCAACUUAAAAUGGAAAAUUUUAAAAGAAAAAAAAAAGGAAAAAAAGAAAAAAAAGGAAAAAAAAUAAAAA